RNAcentral lists this non-coding RNA (27 nucleotides) under Mus musculus (house mouse). The record is from RNAcentral. Lineage: Eukaryota; Metazoa; Chordata; Mammalia; Rodentia; Muridae.
ACNCCUUCUAAUAGUGCCACUCCCUGG